GACGAACGCUGGCGGCAGGCUUAACACAUGCAAGUCGAACGCUGUAGCAAUACAGAGUGGCAGACGGGUGAGUAACGCGUGGGAACGUGCCUUUCGGUUCGGAAUAACUCAGGGAAACUUGAGCUAAUACCGGAUACGCCCUUCGGGGGAAAGAUUUAUUGCCGAAAGAUCGGCCCGCGUCCGAUUAGCUAGUUGGUGAGGUAACGGCUCACCAAGGCGACGAUCGGUAGCUGGUCUGAGAGGAUGAUCAGCCAAACUGGGACUGAGACACGGCCCAGACUCCUACGGGAGGCAGCAGUGGGGAAUAUUGGACAAUGGGCGCAAGCCUGAUCCAGCCAUGCCACGUGAGUGAUGAAGGCCCUAGGGUUGUAAAGCUCUUUCGCCAGGGACGAUAAUGACGGUACCUGGAUAAGAAGCCCCGGCUAACUUCGUGCCAGCAGCCGCAGUAA
This 449-nucleotide ribosomal RNA is filed under the name uncultured bacterium. RNAcentral describes it as "partial 16S ribosomal RNA". It matches the Rfam family "Bacterial small subunit ribosomal RNA", at positions 28 to 523 of the family's 1533-position model. The record is from RNAcentral.